UGCUCACUUUGACAGUAUACUAAAAUUGGAAAGAUACAGAGACGAUUAGCAUGACUCCUGUGUGAGGAUGGCACACAAAUUCAGGAAGCGAUGCGUAUUAAA
Dipodomys spectabilis (banner-tailed kangaroo rat) is the source of this 102-nucleotide small nuclear RNA. Lineage: Eukaryota; Metazoa; Chordata; Mammalia; Rodentia; Heteromyidae. The record is from RefSeq and is a predicted model, not a curated record.